Molecule: non-coding RNA, 147 nt
Filed under: Chlorocebus sabaeus (green monkey)
Lineage: Eukaryota; Metazoa; Chordata; Mammalia; Primates; Cercopithecidae
Source: Rfam by way of RNAcentral
GCCAGGUGUGGUGGCGCACAUCUGUAAUCCCAGCUACUCGGGAGGCUGAGGCAGGAGAAUUGCUGGAACCCAGGAGGCAGAGGCUGCGUGAGCCGAGAUCGUGCCACUGCACUUCUGCCUGGGUGACACGGCAAGACUCUGUCUCAA